UACGUAGGUGACGAGCGUUAUCCGGAAUUAUUGGGCGUAAAGCGCCCGCAGGCGGCUGUUCAAGUCUGACGUGAAAUCGCUCGGCUUAACUGGGCGGGGUCGUUGGAAACUGAACAGCUUGAGGCAAGGAGAGGGGCGUGGAAUUCCCGGUGUAGUGGUGGAAUGCGUAGAUAUCGGGAGGAACAUCAGUGGCGCAAGCGGCGCCCUGGCCUUAGCCUGACGCUCAGGGGCGAAAGCGUGGGGAGCGAACGGG
This 253-nucleotide ribosomal RNA is filed under the name uncultured bacterium. RNAcentral describes it as "partial 16S ribosomal RNA". It matches the Rfam family "Bacterial small subunit ribosomal RNA", at positions 524 to 776 of the family's 1533-position model. The record is from RNAcentral.